GCUCAGGACGAACGCUGGCGGCGUGCCUAAUACAUGCAAGUCGAGCGCGGGAAAUAAGCUGAUUCUCAUCUGAGAUGACGCUUAUGGAACGAGCGGCGGACGGGUGAGUAACACGUGGGUAACCUGCCUGUGAGACUGGGAUAACUUGCGGAAACGUGAGCUAAUACCGGAUAAUACUUUCUAUUGCAUGAUAGAAAGGUGAAAGACGGCGUAAGCUGUCACUUGCAGAUGGACCCGCGGCGCAUUAGCUAGUUGGUGAGGUAAGGGCUCACCAAGGCAACGAUGCGUAGCCGACCUGAGAGGGUGAUCGGCCACACUGGGACUGAGACACGGCCCAGACUCCUACGGGAGGCAGCAGUAGGGAAUCUUCCGCAAUGGACGAAAGUCUGACGGAGCAACGCCGCGUGAGUGAUGAAGGUCUUCGGAUCGUAAAGCUCUGUUGUCAGGGAAGAACAAGUACCGGAGUCACUGCCGGUACCUUGACGGUACCUGACCAGAAAGCCACGGCUAACUACGUGCCAGCAGCCGCGGUA
This 533-nucleotide ribosomal RNA is filed under the name uncultured bacterium. Its description in RNAcentral is "bacterial SSU rRNA". It matches the Rfam family "Bacterial small subunit ribosomal RNA", at positions 22 to 522 of the family's 1533-position model. The record is from RNAcentral.